GACGAACGCUGGCGGCGUGCUUAACACAUGCAAGUCGAACGGAAAGGCCUGCUUUCCCUUGUGGAUUGCGGGUACUCGAGUGGCGAACGGGUGAGUAACACGUGAGUGAUCUGCCCCCAACUUGGGUAUAAGCCUGGGAAACUGGGUCUAAUUCCCGAUAGGACUGCAGGGUGGUGCCUGUGGUGGAAAACGAUUUUCUAGUGGUUGGGGAUGAGCUCGCGGCCUAUCAGCUUGUUGGUGGGGUAAUGGCCUACCAAGGCGGCGACGGGUAGCCGGCCUGAGAGGGUGGACGGCGACAUUGGGACUGGGAUACGGCCCAGACUCCUACGGGAGGCAGCAGUGGGGAAUAUUGCACCAUGGGCGGAAGCCUGAUGCAGCGACGCCGCGUGGGGGAUGACGGCCUUCGGGUUGUAAACUCCUUUCGACCGCGAGGAAGCCACCUGGUUGGAAGGGUGGUGACGGUAGUGGUAGAAGAAGCACCGGCUAACUACGUG
RNAcentral lists this ribosomal RNA (494 nucleotides) under uncultured bacterium. RNAcentral describes it as "partial 16S ribosomal RNA". It matches the Rfam family "Bacterial small subunit ribosomal RNA", at positions 28 to 507 of the family's 1533-position model. The record is from RNAcentral.